Molecule: long non-coding RNA, 336 nt
Filed under: Homo sapiens (human)
Lineage: Eukaryota; Metazoa; Chordata; Mammalia; Primates; Hominidae
Description: LNC_000255
Source: RNAcentral
GUGUCAUCUGUUUUGGGUCUUAUGGAGGCCGGAGGCUCAGAGGAGACCCGGGGCACCCGCCGCUUGUACUUGUUGCCAUAGUCGAAUUUCUCCUUCACGUCGUCCAGGCAGCGGCCGAGGCGCGCCUGCUCCUCCUUGCCCGUGUAAUCCUGGCUCAGCAGGAUGUAGGCCCGCCAGUUGGCCGAGUCGAAGCCCCAGUGGCAGGUCCGGUUCUCCAGGGCCUUGUGCGAGUGCACCACGAACUUGUGCGGCGGGUACAUGAGGCGGCAGUCCAGGCACUGGAUGCAGGCGGCGCUCGGGCUGCUGUAGAGCUCGGGCACCAGCAGCCCCUUACAC